This 422-nucleotide ribosomal RNA is filed under the name uncultured cyanobacterium. RNAcentral describes it as "bacterial SSU rRNA". It matches the Rfam family "Bacterial small subunit ribosomal RNA", at positions 358 to 795 of the family's 1533-position model. Lineage: Bacteria; Bacillati; Cyanobacteriota. The record is from RNAcentral.
GGAAUUUUCCGCAAUGGGCGAAAGCCUGACGGAGCAACACCGCGUGAGGGAUGAAGGCCUCUGGGCUGUAAACCUCUUUUAUCAAGGAAGAAGAUCUGACGGUACUUGAUGAAUAAGCCACGGCUAAUUCCGUGCCAGCAGCCGCGGUAAUACGGGAGUGGCAAGCGUUAUCCGGAAUUAUUGGGCGUAAAGCGUCCGCAGGCGGCCCAUCAAGUCUGCUGUUAAAAAGUGGAGCUUAACUCCAUCAUGGCAGUGGAAACUGUUGGGCUAGAGUGUGGUAGGGGCAGAGGGAAUUCCCGGUGUAGCGGUGAAAUGCGUAGAUAUCGGGAAGAACACCAGUGGCGAAGGCGCUCUGCUGGGCCAUAACUGACGCUCAUGGACGAAAGCCAGGGGAGCGAAAGGGAUUAGAUACCCCAGUAGUC